CACGCCGUAAACGAUGUCGACUUGGAGGUUGUGCCCUUGAGGCGUGGCUUCCGGAGCUAACGCGUUAAGUCGACCGCCUGGGGAGUACGGCCGCAAGGUUAAAACUCAAAUGAAUUGACG
RNAcentral lists this ribosomal RNA (120 nucleotides) under uncultured bacterium. Its description in RNAcentral is "partial 16S ribosomal RNA". It matches the Rfam family "Bacterial small subunit ribosomal RNA", at positions 796 to 915 of the family's 1533-position model. The record is from RNAcentral.